GAUGAACGCUGACAGAAUGCUUAACACAUGCAAGUCUUUGGCGAAGCUGUGCUUGCACAGCCUAGCCAAGGCGGACGGGUGAGUAACGCGUAAGGAACUUGCCCUGCAGUCAGGGAUAACAGACGGAAACGACUGAUAAGACCUGGUAAAGUCAGGCGGACUCAUGUCCAGCCUGAUGAAAAGAGAUGCUGCAGGAGAGCCUUGCGUCCUAUUAGCUUGUUGGUGGGGUAACGGCCCACCAAGGCGAUGAUAGGUAGCCGGCCUGAGAGGGUGGACGGCCACAAGGGGACUGAGAUACGGCCCUUACUCCUACGGGAGGCAGCAGUGGGGAAUAUUGGACAAUGGGGGCAACCCUGAUCCAGCAAUUCUGUGUGCACGAGAAGGUUUUCGGAUUGUAAAGUGCUUUCAGCAGGGAAAAAAAAAAG
This 425-nucleotide ribosomal RNA is filed under the name Leptotrichia sp. oral taxon 462. RNAcentral describes it as "bacterial SSU rRNA". It matches the Rfam family "Bacterial small subunit ribosomal RNA", at positions 28 to 455 of the family's 1533-position model. The record is from RNAcentral. Lineage: Bacteria; Fusobacteriati; Fusobacteriota; Fusobacteriia; Fusobacteriales; Leptotrichiaceae.